AGCAUGAUGGCAGAGUGGUUAUUGCGGUCGCCUUGAAAGCGAUUAUAUCUAUUUGAUUUCACGGGUUCGAAUCCUGUUCAUGCUGACA
Molecule: transfer RNA, 88 nt
Filed under: Paracoccaceae bacterium
Lineage: Bacteria; Pseudomonadati; Pseudomonadota; Alphaproteobacteria; Rhodobacterales; Paracoccaceae
Description: Rhodobacteraceae bacterium tRNA-Ser
Rfam family: tRNA
About the family: Transfer RNA (tRNA) molecules are approximately 80 nucleotides in length. Their secondary structure includes four short double-helical elements and three loops (D, anti-codon, and T loops).
Source: RNAcentral